AUUGAACGCUGGCGGCAUGCCUUACACAUGCAAGUCGAACGGUAACGGGCCUUCGGGUGCCGACGAGUGGCGAACGGGUGAGUAAUGCAUCGGAACGUACCUUUCAGUGGGGGAUAACGUAGCGAAAGUUACGCUAAUACCGCAUAUUCUGUGCGCAGGAAAGCAGGGGAUCGCAAGACCUUGCGCUGAUUGAGCGGCCGAUGUCAGAUUAGCUAGUUGGUGAGGUAAAGGCUCAUCAAGGCGACGAUCUGUAGCGGGUCUGAGAGGAUGAUCCGCCACACUGGAACUGAGACACGGUCCAGACUCCUACGGGAGGCAGCAGUGGGGAAUUUUGGACAAUGGGCGCAAGCCUGAUCCAGCCAUGCCGCGUGAGUGAAGAAGGCCUCGGUUGUAA
Molecule: ribosomal RNA, 394 nt
Filed under: uncultured bacterium
Lineage: Bacteria
Description: bacterial SSU rRNA
Rfam family: Bacterial small subunit ribosomal RNA
Source: RNAcentral